AUACGGAGGAUGCGAGCGUUAUCCGGAUUUAUUGGGUUUAAAGGGAGCGUAGGUGGGAUAUUAAGUCAGCUGUGAAAGUUUGGGGCUCAACCUUAAAAUUGCAGUUGAUACUGGUUUCCUUGAGUACGGUAUAGGUGGGCGGAAUUCGUGGUGUAGCGGUGAAAUGCUUAGAUAUCACGAAGAACUCCGAUUGCGAAGGCAGCUCACUAGACUGUUACUGACACUGAUGCUCGAAAGUGUGGGUAUCAAACAGGAUUAGAUACCCUGGUAGUCCACACAGUAAACGAUGAAUACUCGCUGUUUGCGAUAUACAGUAAGCGGCCAAGCGAAAGCAUUAAGUAUUCCACCCGGGGAGUACGCCGGCAACGGUGAAACUCAAAUGAAUUGGCGGGG
This 393-nucleotide ribosomal RNA is filed under the name uncultured bacterium. RNAcentral describes it as "partial 16S ribosomal RNA". It matches the Rfam family "Bacterial small subunit ribosomal RNA", at positions 523 to 918 of the family's 1533-position model. The record is from RNAcentral.